AGGGCCCUUAGUAGCGGCGAGUGAGCGGCAAAGCUCAAUUUGAAAUCUGGCACUUUCAGUGUCCGAGUUGUAAUUUGAAGAAGGUAUCUUUGGGUCUGGCUCUUGUCUAUGUUUCUUGGAACAGAACGUCACAGAGGGUGAGAAUCCCGUGCGAUGAGAUGACCCAGACCUAUGUAAAGUUCCUUCGAAGAGUCGAGUUGUUUGGGAAUGCAGCUCUAAGUGGGUGGUAAAUUCCAUCUAAAGCUAAAUAUUGGCGAGAGACCGAUAGCGAACAAGUACAGUGAUGGAAAGAUGAAAAGAACUUUGAAAAGAGAGUGAAAAAGUACGUGAAAUUGUUGAAAGGGAAGGGCUUGAGAUCAGACUUGGUAUUUUGUAUGUUACUCUCUCGGGGGUGGCCUCUACAGUUUACCGGGCCAGCAUCAGUUUGGGCGGUAGGAGAAUUGCAAAGAAAUGUGGCACUGCCUCGGUAGUGUGUUAUAGUCUUUGUCGAUACUGCCAGCCUAGACUGAGGACUGCGGCUUCGGCCUAGGAUGUUGGCAUAA
Molecule: ribosomal RNA, 542 nt
Filed under: Lodderomyces orthopsilosis
Lineage: Eukaryota; Fungi; Ascomycota; Pichiomycetes; Serinales; Debaryomycetaceae
Description: eukaryotic LSU rRNA
Rfam family: Eukaryotic large subunit ribosomal RNA
Source: RNAcentral